CGGGUGCCAGGAAGAAAAGGGGUUGAUGGCGAGGUCCAUGGCGAAGUCCUCGACGAUCUUCUCGACGGAAUCCAGGGCGGGGCGGCGGGGGAUCUCACCGCCCGCGGGGGCGGAGGAGGAGGGCGACGACGGCCGGGCGGAUCUGGGGGCGGGCGGUGGUGACGGUGGUGGUGGUGGUGGUGGUGGGAAUUGCGAAGAGGCCCCUGCUUUGUGUUUCGGUUUUGUUUAGUUGAGUCCAUGGGGAGUAGUGGGGUCA
Molecule: long non-coding RNA, 256 nt
Filed under: Setaria italica (foxtail millet)
Lineage: Eukaryota; Viridiplantae; Streptophyta; Magnoliopsida; Poales; Poaceae
Description: long non-coding RNA (SITA_LNC002777)
Source: RNAcentral